GCUACACUUGGAGCCUACACCAUGCUCUUAUCAGCCUAGGCAAGGCACUGUCCGAAUCCCUGCUUUCCCCAGAGACUUCCGCCCCAGCCAGCAUCUGUUUCCUCUGCUAUAUUUAAACAACCAGGUUAGUGAACUUGGGACAGCAUUUCUGCCCAGGAGGAACAAAGCCUUCCACAGAACACACAGGAUAUAUUGUGAUUCUGAGGCCUUGUGGGUUGCUGUGUGCUCCUUCUCAGCUACUGGUGUGCCAGGAGGCUUGGUUGAUCAUCUGCUGCACCAGUUCCUCUGGAACCAUGGGAAGACCCAAGGUCUCGGGAAACAAGGGUGGCUGUUCAGUUGGUUGUCUUCAGCCAUCACUGGAAAGAGCCAAGGCGAGAAUCACAACUCAAACUUCUGCCUGAGUUUCAUCUCCUUUUGGUUCCAGGUUAAUUUAUUAAAAUCUCUAUGGACAUAAAAUAGACCUAAUUUAUAAAUCGUGCCACUUCCUGUGAUAUGGAGAGAUGUGUAAUUGAAGAAACCACUAGGCACAUGGUUUCAAGUCGUAUACAGGAGCACUAAUUCACAGCAGAACUGAAACAAUCCCAAGCCUAGGUUUCUUUCAUCAUUUGUUUAUUUGUCUUUAUUGUUGCU
Molecule: long non-coding RNA, 630 nt
Organism: Heterocephalus glaber (naked mole-rat)
Lineage: Eukaryota; Metazoa; Chordata; Mammalia; Rodentia; Bathyergidae
Source: Ensembl